AACGUAGGAGGCGAGCGUUAUCCGGAUUUACUGGGUGUAAAGCGCGUGUAGGCGGUCCUGCAAGUGGCGCGUGAAAGCGCCCGGCUCAACCGGGCGAGGACGUGACCGAACUGCGGGGCUAGAGGCAGGUAGAGGCGUGUGGAAUUCCGGGUGUAGUGGUGAAAUGCGUAGAGAUCCGGAGGAACACCAGUGGCGAAGGCGACACGCUGGGCCUGACCUGACGCUGAGAGGCGAAAGCAUGGGGAGCGAACGGG
Molecule: ribosomal RNA, 254 nt
Filed under: uncultured bacterium
Lineage: Bacteria
Description: partial 16S ribosomal RNA
Rfam family: Bacterial small subunit ribosomal RNA
Source: RNAcentral